Molecule: ribosomal RNA, 253 nt
Filed under: uncultured bacterium
Lineage: Bacteria
Description: partial 16S ribosomal RNA
Rfam family: Bacterial small subunit ribosomal RNA
Source: RNAcentral
UACAGAGGGGGCAAGCGUUGUUCGGAAUUACUGGGCGUAAAGGGCGCGUAGGCGGCCUUCUAAGUCAGACGUGAAAUCCCCGGGCUCAACCCGGGAACUGCGUCUGAUACUGGAAGGCUUGAAUCCGGGAGAGGGAUGUGGAAUUCCAGGUGUAGCGGUGAAAUGCGUAGAUAUCAGGAGGAACACCGGUGGCGAAGGCGGAUCUCUGGGCCUUACCUGACGCUCAGGUGCGAAAGCUAGGGGAGCGAACAGG